Bactrocera latifrons is the source of this 2255-nucleotide long non-coding RNA. RefSeq lists it as uncharacterized. The transcript has 3 exons. The record is from RefSeq and is a predicted model, not a curated record. Lineage: Eukaryota; Metazoa; Arthropoda; Insecta; Diptera; Tephritidae.
GGUAACGUUGUACACUUCGAUACCAGUGAUGCCAACUUAAUGGGUGACCACUAAGACUAGUGGUUUUUCUUUCCCUCUAUUGUCCGAAAAACUUUUUUAGUGGCUGGUGGUUUUUUAGUGGUAAAUACUAUCUGACGUUAGUUCAGCUUGGAGAGAACGCUAGUGAUUUUAGAGUCGACACUAGUGGUCCCUGGAAAAAUAUUCUGGCCACACUGUUCGAGACGUCCAUUAUAAAUAAAAGGAAAUAUGAAGUACGCGGAGUUAAGGUGGUCAUCUUUAUAUUCGAAAAGUGAAUGACAAUUGUUUUCUAUUUAUCUCUUUAAACUACGGUCUUUUAUUUAAUAGCAUGUACUUUUAUUUCGAGGAAACUCUCACUGGAAAGGAUCGUAUCCAGCCAUAUUAAAAAACCAGAUUAUUAUUACCGAUUUCACUAUCCGGGUAGUACAAUCGGUGUGCCAGAUAUUAAGAAUGAAUCGGAAAUAAAUACUAUUCGCUUGAGUUGUAAGAUGGCAGGACAAGUACUCCAAGCGUGCUCGCGAUUAAUAAAAUGUAAAAACAUCAUCAUCACUGAAUAAAGAAAUGCAAUAGAUUUUGUGACUGUCACUUACAGAAUAGCAAAAUCAUCUGUAACAAAAAUUGUCUCUAACUUAAAAUCUCAACUCCACUGCAAAUAUUUUGUUUCUUCUUCAAGCCAAAAGCAAUUGGAAUGGCAUUGACAUGGACAUUGACUAUUAUAAUCAAAUCUAUAAAAAUGAGAAUUUCGAGAAUUAAAGCAGACAGUUGGCUGGCUAGCAUGUUCCCUAUAAACAAGUACCUCAAAAAUUGGCAGCAAAACUGUUCAUGUUGUUGUUGGAUGAAAAUCCAUAUCACUCCCCAUAUAACAGUACUGGUCAAAUCUACUAAAAGCGCGAUAAAUCAAUAACUAAAUGCAUCAGAGACGUAAAAAUUUGCGCGCCGGGGUGGUAUGACAAGGCUUUAUAGGGACCGUGGUAAAAAUUGGGCGAUCGGCGUGCCACCGAUUGGUCGAUAUUACCUGUCAGCAUAUGAGUUAUCUAUAUAUAUAUAUAUUAUAUAUGUAAGCCUAGCUUACUUGUUUACAUUGUCAUUAAUAAAUAAUAAGUUUAUUAAUUCUCAUUUAAAUUUGUAAUUAAACUGUACUGAACUAAUUUAUACUAUAUGUUGUAUAAACCCUAUUCUUCUAAAUCAGAGGUUCAAACUUACUCAAAAAGAAUUGUUAUUAAAAUUUUUGUCAUUAUUUUAAAAGCCAGAUUUAGAGGGUUUAGUCUUUCUUAUUACAAAUAUUAGAAUUGAGUAAUUUAGACAGGAGUUACCGAUAGCACACCAGAUAGCAUAUUCGUUAAUUCAUCACCAUGAUUUUAUUUAUUGAUAAUAAUGUUUUUAGAAUUAUCGAUAUUCCCAAGUCUGCUGAAAUACACAUUUAUUACCUGUAAAUAAGAAAAUAAUAAAACACAGUUUUGAGUUUGCUUUUAUAAAAAUAUACCGAUGAUAUGGUAUAAAUUCCAAAUUAUUAAAAAUAAACACUUCCUUUUCCUUUCAUUGUCCGUAGAUUAGUAGAGUUUCUUUUUUUUAACUCUCAAAUGUAGUCUCCCUUAAUAUUUUCCUUAUACUGGCCAUAGUAAUGUCUCUCAAAUGCCAUUAUAUCAUGAUGGAAGCGUUCUAGUCGUUCUUCCGAAUAUAURUAUCUAGACAGAUCCUAGAUCCUAUUAUGGUGAAAUCCGUUAUGAUGUCAGUUAUCAGCUCGUCAUAAUUGGCAACUUUAUCCAAGGAAACCAUAGAACUUUUCUAGGCCUUUUUAUCCUCAUUGCUAAGUAACUUUGGGAAAAUAUCACCAUCCAAAAUUUCGUGAGUGCCUACAAAGAUUCCAUUCUUCAAAUAUCUUUCACCGUCAACAACGCGUGAAGACCAACAUUAUAAAUUGUCUAAUGCUUAAAACAAAUAUUUUUCAUCCUUUUGUAAUCCUGUGCAACGUCAAGUAGAUACCGAAAAUAUUCCUAUAUCACCGAUUUUACCUUUACCUUUUACCUUUACGUUUACCUUUAAUAAUAUGAAAAUAAAAUUUUGUUCAUUCCUGCCAUUCCGCAGAUAUCGAAUUUUUUGUCCUCCAACCCGCUUUCUCAACGCCGGGAGCUUGUCCGCGAACAGAUUAUGAUUUUUCGGCUGUGGGAUCCAGAACUAAAUUGUUAUAGAAGAUAUCUCUAAAUUAUUAUUGAAAUUCUUUUUCCAAAUCAAUGUUG